UACAGAGGUCUCGAGCGUUAGGCGGAAUCACUGGGCUUAAAGCGUGUGUAGGCGGAUCGGUAAGUACCUUGUGAAAUCCCACGGCUUAACCGUGGAACUGCUUGGUAUACUGCCAGUCUUGAGCCAUCUAGGGGCUACCGGAACAAGCGGUGGAGCGGUGAAAUGCGUAGAUAUCAGGAGGAACACCGGUGGCGAAGGCGGGACUCUGGGCCGAUACUGACGCUGAGGAGCGAAAGCGUGGGGAGCAAACAGG
Molecule: ribosomal RNA, 253 nt
Filed under: uncultured bacterium
Lineage: Bacteria
Description: partial 16S ribosomal RNA
Rfam family: Bacterial small subunit ribosomal RNA
Source: RNAcentral